This 366-nucleotide unclassified non-coding RNA is filed under the name Hevea brasiliensis (rubber tree). Lineage: Eukaryota; Viridiplantae; Streptophyta; Magnoliopsida; Malpighiales; Euphorbiaceae. The record is from RNAcentral.
UAAGAGCUCUAGGGUUUGUAGCAGGAGGGCGAACCAGGUAAACCAUCACAACUCGGGAAAGACAUGGCAUCUCCGCCGAUUGAGUCGGUUCAGUGUUUCGGCCGGAAAAAGACGGCGGUGGCAGUUACCUACUGCAAGCGCGGUAGGGGUUUGAUUAAGAUCAAUGGCUGCCCAAUCGAACUGGUGGAGCCGGAGAUCCUCCGUUUCAAGGCUUAUGAGCCUAUCCUCCUCCUUGGACGACACAGGUUCUCUGGUGUCGAUAUGCGUAUUAGAGUAAAGGGUGGAGGUCACACGUCGCAGAUUUACGCCAUCCGUCAGAGUAUCGCCAAGGCCUUGGUCGCGUUCUACCAGAAGUACGUGGACGAG